RNAcentral lists this non-coding RNA (23 nucleotides) under Cricetulus griseus (Chinese hamster). The record is from RNAcentral. Lineage: Eukaryota; Metazoa; Chordata; Mammalia; Rodentia; Cricetidae.
GAGGGCAUGAACUCCUCCCACUA